ACCUAGACUUGACAUCUCCUGAAUUACCCGUAACUGGGGAAGCUCUUCGGAGCAGGAAGACAGGUGGUGCAUGGUUGUCGUCAGCUCGUGUCGUGAGAUGUUGGGUUAAGUCCCGCAACGAGCGCAACCCUUUAUCGUUAGUUGCUACCAUUAGGUUGAGCACUCUAGCGAGACUGCCCGGGUUAACCGGGAGGAAGGUGGGGAUGACGUCAAAUCAUCAUGCCCCUUAUGUCUAGGGCUACACACGUGCUACAAUGGUGAGGACAAAGAGACGCAAGACCGCGAGGUGGAGCAAAUCUCACAAACCUCAUCCCAGUUCGGAUUGCAGGCUGAAACUCGCCUGCAUGAAGCCGGAGUUGCUAGUAAUCGCGAAUCAGCAUGUCGCGGUGAAUACGUUCCCGGGCCUU
RNAcentral lists this ribosomal RNA (407 nucleotides) under uncultured Clostridium sp. RNAcentral describes it as "bacterial SSU rRNA". It matches the Rfam family "Bacterial small subunit ribosomal RNA", at positions 973 to 1382 of the family's 1533-position model. Lineage: Bacteria; Bacillati; Bacillota; Clostridia; Eubacteriales; Clostridiaceae. The record is from RNAcentral.